Anser cygnoides (Swan goose) is the source of this 858-nucleotide long non-coding RNA. NCBI's taxonomy places the organism in Eukaryota, Metazoa, Chordata, Aves, Anseriformes, Anatidae. The record is from Ensembl.
UUGAAUUCAGGAAUAGGAUCAAGCCCCAGGUAUAUACCACCACAGAGCAUACUGUAGAGACGGUAAUGGAACUUGUGGCUGUGAGGAAAAAAUUCAUCAGGAUUUAACACCUGAAUCUUGAAUUGCUGUAGAUGCUUCACGUGCCCACAGCUGUUGACUCUGCUGCUGAAGGAAGCAGGAGGGAAAAGAAUAACAGAAACACAUUCAUCAGCAGGUAUCUGCAUCAUAUAAAUACCCAUUCACAGUCAGUCUGUUUCAUACUUAAUUUGUUGGCUUUUUAAUUAGCUCAGGUUCUGUAUGAAGGUUUAAUUAGACUAUAUAAAACUGUAAUUGCUCAGAGCCAUUGAUGUAGUGAUGACAGCUCAGUAUGUGGGGUGGGAAGUGUCUCUGUUUCUGAUAGAGCUAAACAAUUUGAAAAAGGUGUACCACAAGGCAGGAACUGAACAGACCAGGAACUGUUACUGACUAGAUUUUCAAGAACAGAUAAUCCAAACAGCCAAACAUCCUACAACCCACGUAUCAUGACUUUAACAUGUCAGGAAUCACAAGAUUCCUAGAUCACCUUUUGGAGGGCAGAUGGGACUGUCUUCUGCCUUACUCCUCCAACACCUAGAAACUGCAGUGUAUUGUCAUGCAGAUGUGAAUUUUCCUCUUUGGAAGAUUGCUUAUUGUUUUGGAUACCCUCAAGAACCAGAGUCAGAAAUUGGAGGUCCUGGUUUUGAAGAAAUGCUACAGACUGUGAGCCCAUCCUAUUUAUAUCUGGCCUUUUUUCUACAAUUAACAGAAUUGCCCAUGUUUCCUCUUAAAUACAACUUGGCUGCUUCCUCUGUAUUGUUCUUCCAUGAAAAGUGUUCUUGA